GGCAGAGUCAGCAAGGUCCAAGAAGGCUGAGAGGUCAAAGGUCAAGUAAAAGAGAACGGAAGUGAGCACAAGAUACGGUGGCAUGCAGGGACGAGGUUUCGCCAUCUUGCCCAGCCUGGUCUCAAACUCCUGAGCUCGAGCCAUCUGCCCGCCUCGGCCUCCCAAAGUGCUGGGAUUACAGGUUUGAGCCACCGCGGCCUUAAUCUUUUCUUCACAGCAGACUUCUUCCUCUAGAGUUUGAGGAGUUAUGAUAAGGCAAAUACCCUUAUAACCACCACCCAAAUCAAGAAAUAGAACUGUGCCGGCCACCUCAGAAACCCCACCACACGCCCUGACUCAAUCGUAGCUCCCUCCUUCCCCCUGAACAAGUAACUCUUUGACUUAUAGUAAUCACCUCUGUGUAUUUCUUCAUAAUUUUUUUUUUUGAGACAGAGUUUCACUCUUGUUACCUUGGCUCACCACAACCUCCGCCUCCCAGGUUCAAGCGAUUCUCCUGCCUCAGCCUCCGGAGUAGCUGGGAUUACAGGCAUGUGCCACCACGCCCGGCUAAUUUUGUAUUUUUAGUAGAGACGAGGUUUCUCCAUGUUGGUCAGGCUUGUCUCGAACUCCUGACCUCAGGUGAUCCACCCACCUCGGCCUCUAAAAGUGCUGGGAUUACAGGUGUGAGCCACCACACCCGGCCAUUUCUUUAUAAUUUUAUCACCCAGGUGUGCAUCCUUAGGUAUCAUAGUUUAGACUUGCUAAUUUCUAAAAUUGCCGUGUAUCUUUUAAAUCCUGGUACAACCCCCACAUGCUCCCCACAACUCUGUCUUUCCCUCAGAGAUUAUCUGUGGAGGAGCCUGGGGUAUUUGACCUACAGGGUUUCUCAAAGCCUGGGUUUUGCUAACUGCACAAUCACGGGGACAGAUCAAUAUGCUCCUCUGUCACAAUAAAUUAGCAACUAAAUACAGAGGCUUAGUGCUCUGUCCUGUUUGGCAAGACAGUAAUCCUGGCCCUACUUGUGUAAUAUUCUUUCACCAGCAACAGCCAAGCUUCUUGGUAGUUUUCUAUACUCAUUUAGUCACUUUCUUACCUGCCAUUCGCUCAAACCUUCUCCAAUCUAGGUUCCAGCCCCAUCACUCAGCAGACAUUAUUCUCAUUAAAGUGAUGAAUAUAGCCACAUCACUAACCAAGGGACACGUUUCUCUCCUUGCCUCACCCUCGUGGCAGCAAAAACCUUUGCUGACAUUAACACACUCCACUUGAUCGUUUUCUGCUUUGGCUUCUUAGAAGAAUAUUUAUUUGUUUAUAAAUAGAUGAUUUUCUUAGAGCAGUUUUAGGGUCACAGCAAAAUGGAGUGGAAAAUACAAUUCAAUACAGUUCACCUAUACUCCCUGGCCCUACACAGGCACAGCCCGUUCCGCAAUCCCCAUCCCCCACCAGAGGCACGUGUUGCAACUGACGAACCUACACUGAUGCACUGUCGCCACCCGGGGGCCCUAGUGUACACUGGGGUUCGCUCUUGGUGGUGUACACUCUGUGGGUUUACACAGAUGCAUAAUGACACGUAUCUGCCUUGGCUUUGGCAGGCCCCCAUUCUCCUUCCUCCUACCUUUCAGGUGAUGCCUCUGCACUCCUUCACUGCUUCUCUUCUGCCCAAUUAUUUUAAGUGCGUAAGUUCCUUAAGGCCAAUCAGAUUCUCUUCAUUCACUCAUUUGUACAUUUAUAUAUUUGCUGUGUGCUGGCCUCUACUAGACACCAUGAUUCCAGAGACCAGGACAGACUCAAGGCCUGUCCUCAUGGAACCUACAGCCUAGUGGGGAAGACAGACAUUAAAUAAUUACUAUUUGUGAGGAGAACUUGGAGAAAAAGGACAAACAAGGGGCCUCCAGUGGGCAGAGGGGAGCCCUAGUAUAGAAGGUCAGAAAUGAGUUAUCAGAGGAGGCAGUGGCCUUUAAGCUGAGAGCUGACAGGAGAGUAGGAAUUGGCCAGGCAAAAGAUGUAAGAGUGCAUGUGUGCAUGUAAGUGUGCAUGCAUGGGUGCAUAUGUGAGCGUGUGCAUGAGUGCCUGUGUGUGUGCAUGCAUGUUGGCAAGGUGCAGGGAAGGGGGCAGUCCAGGAGAGAAGCCUGUUGCAGGCAGAGGGAGUGGCAGAGUAGAGGGCCCAGGUGUGGGACUGCAGGGUGCCUUCCAGAACUGGAGGAGUUCAGGCAGAGGGAGAGCAGGAUAAGCUGAGGCAGGAGGGACCUCCCUUCCACAGCUCACACACGCCUGCCUCCUGUACACCCAGGGCUCCCGUGUGUGCCCAGGAGCCCAGAGCUCUCCUGUGCACCCCAGGCCUGAAUAGCCAAAUGCCUACUUGAUAUCUCAACUGAUAUGUCCUGCUCCAUUGAUGAGCCAAUGACCUUGCUAUCAACCCAGAAGUUGAUCCUGUCACCUCGCUCUUACCUCACCUACAAAAUGCACUCAGUCACUAAGGCCUGCUAAUCCAACCUCUUAAAGAGAUCUCAGGCCUCUCAGCUCACACCGCUUCUCACAGCCAUUAAUCUGGCAUAGGCUCUUUCCUGCAUCCCUCGGAUCACCCACCUGGCCCUCGAGUCCUCAGUCUUGCUCCCUCCCAGCACACACACAUUUGUUCCCACACUUGGGUCACAGUCAUCUUUCUUACCCCAAUCCGACCACGUCCCUCCCCUUCCCCCUUCUUUUCCUCAAAAUAAAGUUCAACUCCUUAAUACCGACCAUAAGGCCCCCCCAAUCUGACUCUUGCACCCACUCUGGCCCCAAUUCACCCCCGCCAUCUAGUCAGGGUGUGGGGAAGAGAGAUGGGCUCUGGGAAGGAGCUCACACCCUUAUCAUCCCUUCUAGGCUGUUUCUCCUCCUACGAAAAAUCAGGAUGGACAUUUCAGGUCUUCCCAGGGCUGAAAUCCAGCAGGUGCCCAGAGGAGUGUUUCCCAAUCCUUUGGCCUUCAAAGACCCCUUAUUAUUAUCUCCCAGGGUCCUCAGCUUUGUCUGUAAACAAGCAGUGUUUAUGAAGUUGGCAUUCUCAGUUUAAGCUGAUCAGAGACACAGAAAGGCCAAUGAAAGUUUCUGGGCUCUCAAGGGACAGGGU
RNAcentral lists this long non-coding RNA (3085 nucleotides) under Pan troglodytes (chimpanzee). Its description in RNAcentral is "long non-coding RNA NONPTRT000261". Lineage: Eukaryota; Metazoa; Chordata; Mammalia; Primates; Hominidae. The record is from RNAcentral.